This 118-nucleotide ribosomal RNA is filed under the name Clostridiales bacterium. Lineage: Bacteria; Bacillati; Bacillota; Clostridia; Eubacteriales. RNAcentral also lists the same sequence under 1 other name. The record is from RNAcentral.
UCCGGUGGCGAUGCGCUUGUGGGAAACACCCGUACCCAUGCCGAACACGACGGUUAAGACGCAAGCGGCUGAUGAUACUUGGCUGGAGACGGCCCGGGAAAGUAAGUGGCUGCCGGAA